This 497-nucleotide ribosomal RNA is filed under the name uncultured bacterium. Its description in RNAcentral is "partial 16S ribosomal RNA". It matches the Rfam family "Bacterial small subunit ribosomal RNA", at positions 28 to 507 of the family's 1533-position model. The record is from RNAcentral.
GAUGAACGCUGGCGGCGUGCCUAAUACAUGCCAGUCGAGCGAACGGACGAGAAGCUUGCUUCUCUGAUGUUAGCGGCGGACGGGUGAGUAACACGUGGAUAACCUACCUAUAAGACUGGGAUAACUUCGGGAAACCGGAGCUAAUACCGGAUAAUAUUUUGAACCGCAUGGUUCAAAAGUGAAAGACGGUCUUGCUGUCACUUAUAGAUGGAUCCGCGCUGCAUUAGCUAGUUGGUAAGGUAACGGCUUACCAAGGCAACGAUGCAUAGCCGACCUGAAAGGGUGAUCGGCCACACUGGAACUGAGACACGGUCCAGACUCCUACGGGAGGCAGCAGUAGGGAAUCUUCCGCAAUGGGCGAAAGCCUGACGGAGCAACGCCGCGUGAGUGAUGAAGGUCUUCGGAUCGUAAAACUCUGUUAUUAGGGAAGAACAUAUGUGUAAGUAACUGUGCACAUCUUGACGGUACCUAAUCAGAAAGCCACGGCUAACUACGUG